UACUGAGGAUGCGAGCGUUAUCCGGAUUUAUUGGGUUUAAAGGGUGCGUAGGCGGAUCGUUAAGUCAGUGGUCAAAUUGAGGGGCUCAACCCCUUCCCGCCAUUGAAACUGGCGAUCUUGAGUGGAAGAGAAGUAUGCGGAAUGCGUGGUGUAGCGGUGAAAUGCAUAGAUAUCACGCAGAACCCCGAUUGCGAAGGCAGCAUGCCGGCUUCCGACUGACGCUGAAGCACGAAAGCGUGGGGAUCGAACAGG
RNAcentral lists this ribosomal RNA (252 nucleotides) under uncultured bacterium. Its description in RNAcentral is "partial 16S ribosomal RNA". It matches the Rfam family "Bacterial small subunit ribosomal RNA", at positions 524 to 776 of the family's 1533-position model. The record is from RNAcentral.